This 314-nucleotide long non-coding RNA is filed under the name Zonotrichia albicollis (white-throated sparrow). RNAcentral describes it as "lncRNA (ENSZALG00000006814.1)". Lineage: Eukaryota; Metazoa; Chordata; Aves; Passeriformes; Passerellidae. The record is from RNAcentral.
GCAGCCUCUGAUUGCCUUAGACUCACUACUUUCCUUUUUUGUUUUCACAGGAAAUAUGUCAAUGUGGGAACUAAGUUGGAACUUGAAUAAAAACCUUGAGAUUCUCAGCCAUAUUUCAGCCAUCAGCUGCUUCCCUGAUCCCACCACCAGUUCCUAUACUGGUGCCUCAAGUCCUCCCAGUGGCCCACAGAGGUAAGCUUGCUUCUCUGGUUCCUUCAAUACUGUAUGUGAUGUCCUCCAGUUGUGCUGCAUCUCAAAUCUUUUUGGUCAGCAUCACUUUUGUCAAAGUUGUAAUCAGGGUUUUUGUUAAGAGG